AUUGAACGCUGGCGGAAUGCUUUACACAUGCAAGUCGAACGGCAGCACGGGUGCUUGCACCUGGUGGCGAGUGGCGAACGGGUGAGUAACAUAUCGGAACGUACCCAGUAAUGGGGAGUGAACUAGUCGAAAGAUUAGCUAAUACCGCAUACGCCCUGAGGGGGAAAGCGGGGAUCGUAAGACCUCGCGUUAUUGGAGCGGCCGAUAUCUGAUUAGCUAGUUGGUGGGGUAAAGGCCUACCAAGGCGACGAUCAGUAGCUGGUCUGAGAGGACGACCAGCCACACUGGAACUGAGACACGGUCCAGACUCCUACGGGAGGCAGCAGUGGGGAAUUUUGGACAAUGGGCGCAAGCCUGAUCCAGCCAUUCCGCGUGAGUGAAGAAGGCCUCGGGUUGUAAAGCUCUUUCGCAAGGGAAGAAACGAUACGAGCGGAUAACUCGUGUUAAUGACGGUACCUUGAUAAGAAGCACCGGCUAACUACGUGCCAGCAGCCGCGGUAAUACGUAGGGUGCGAGCGUUAAUCGGAAUUACUGGGCGUAAAGCGUGCGCAGGCGGUUUUGUAAGUCAGAUGUGAAAUCCCGGCGUCAACCUGGGAACUGCGUUUGAAACUACAAGGCUAGAGUAUAGGAGAGGGGGGUGAAAUUCCACGUGUCAGCAGUGAAAUGCGUAGAGAAUG
This 677-nucleotide ribosomal RNA is filed under the name uncultured bacterium. Its description in RNAcentral is "bacterial SSU rRNA". It matches the Rfam family "Bacterial small subunit ribosomal RNA", at positions 28 to 698 of the family's 1533-position model. The record is from RNAcentral.